RNAcentral lists this long non-coding RNA (2533 nucleotides) under Triticum aestivum (bread wheat). RNAcentral describes it as "long non-coding RNA (TAES_LNC000544)". The record is from RNAcentral. Lineage: Eukaryota; Viridiplantae; Streptophyta; Magnoliopsida; Poales; Poaceae.
CGCUAGUUAUCAUGGAAUGCCCGUAGGUGGUCAACCCCUCUUGUUGCACCGAUGACAUCCUCCAAUCUGAUAGUCUCAUCUCUGGAUGCGCCUCUCAUCCAUCAAUCAUCAUGGAUAUCACCCCUGGGUCAAUUAUCAAGGUGAGGAAAUUUUGUUGGUUUCAGAUCUAGAAUCCUCUCCACAAAUCCAGGGAUUGUCGAGAUUUGUCAUAGAAGUGGCUUAAUUUAGCUGGAUCUAGGUCCGAUCAUAGUCAAGUUAUGAUGUAUCGUAUCAAGGUUUCGAUCUUGAUGUAUGUGAACAUUCGAGCCAUUCAAAGUAAAUAUACGACUAGAUCUGGGUGCAUCCAUACAGAUCUAGCACAUUAUAUGUGUGAUUUUGCGAUAUCGCAGGUACAUAAGGCCGGAUCUGGGAAGAUCCACUCUGACGCGGUCAUCUAGAGGGCAUGAUGCGGCAAUAUAUGGUAGGAAGUUGGCAUCUAAUACGGACACCAUGAAUUAUGCAUUUUCCUUGGCCACAGACAACACCCUUUACUUUUAUGGUGGAGCUAGCAGUUCAAGGGGAUUUCUUAAUCAUCUUCAUAUAUUUUCCGGCCCAUAAACUCCUCAUGACGAGUGAAGUUCCACUAUAAUGCUCUGGUGAGUAUUUUUUGAGUUCAUCCAUUUCUAAUCUUGUUUCCCCUUCCUUUUUUAUUUACAUGUUGUGUUGUCUUGUGUUAAUUAUAUUCAUCUCCUCCCGUCAUGUUAUUGUAUUUUACAUACUAGUUAUCUCUUGUUUUCACUUCAAGGAGUUCAAAUUGGUUAUUUUCAUGUAUAGAUAUCUCUAAGAGGGCCAAUAUUUUGGAAGAUGCUUGAUUUUGAUUUUUGCACAACAUGAGGACGAUGCUUGGUUAGUUUACAAUAGUUUUGCUAGCAAAACUAAUAUAUUGCAAUGCGAAGAGACUACUUAGUAUACAAGAGCCCACAGUAUAUGUAUGUUUUCCUCCUGUCCUCCCCCAAUAAAAUCAACUUACCAUUUUUGCCUUCCCCUACUCCACCCAAGCCUUUUAUAUAACCCCAUUCCCGGUUGUCUUUCCACGAGCGACAUGAAAACAUCUUUGACUUCUCUAGUUAUUGUGCAAUGUCCAUAGGUGCUCAAACUCUCUUAUUGAACCGAUGACAUCCUCCAAUCUCAUAGUAUCAUCUCUGGAUGUGUAUCUCAUCCGCCGUUCUUCAUCGACAUCGCCCCUGUUUCAACUCUCAAGGUGAGUAAAUUUUGUUGGUUUUUAGAUCUGGAAUCUUCUCCACAAAACCAGGUAUUGUCGAGAUUUGUCAUAGAAGUGGCUUAAUUUAGCUUGAUCAGGUCCCAUCAUAGUCAAGUUGUGAUGUAUCAUAUAAAUGUUUGGAUCUUCAUGUAUCUGAAUAUUCCAGCCAUUCUAUCUAAAUAUACGACUAGAUCAGGAUGCAUCCAUACAGAUCUAGGACAUGAUAUGUGUUAUUUUGCGAUAGCGCGGGUAGAUAAGGUCGGAUCUAGGAAGAUCCACUCUAAUGCGAUCAUCUAGAGGGCAUGAUGCGCCAAUAUAUGGUAGGAAGUUGGCAUCUAAUACGGACACCAUGAAUUAUUAAUUUUCCUCUGCCAUAGGCAACAUCGUUUACUUUUAUGGUGGAGCUUGCAGACCAUGGGGAUCUCUUCAUCAUCUUCAUAUAUAUUUUGGCCCACAAACUCUUCACAGCGAGAGAAAUUACACUACAUGCUCUGGCGAGUAUUUCUUCGAGUUUAUCUAUUUAUAAUAUUGUUUCCCCUUCCUUUUUUAUUUACGUGCUCCCCCAUCUUGUUUAAAUUAUAUUCAUAUCCUCUUAUCAUGUCAUAGUAGUUUAUAUACUAAUUCUCUCGCGUUUUCACUUCGAAUAGUUCAAACUGGUUACUUUCAUGUAUAGGUAUCCCUAAGAGGAUCAAUAUUUAGGGGCAUGCUUGAUUUUAAUUUUUGCACAACAUGUGGAUGAUGUUUGGUUAGUACACUAUAUUUUUGCCAGCCAAAUCUUGUGGCCUUGAACAUGAAAUGGUAGUUAAUAUGGUGGGCUAUCCUAAUGAUUGUCGGAACCAUGAAUAGGGAAUGUUAGCUAUUGUGUUGUACAAUACCUCCUGUUGUCAAAGUUGUAGCUUGGGGCCAACAAGGUCACUCAAAAUAGCAUUUUUGUAAGCAUCUAGCCCGUAAAUGUGAAAAUCCCAUUGACACAUCAUCACCUAGGUUGUGGCAAUAAUAGUAUUUUUCAAUUUGUAGCUCUGCGCCUCCGCACAUCUAUGUACGACUACAUGUGAGAAAUAGUCUCACAUUGCUUACAUGGAUAGACUACCAUCAACAUAUAAAGCCAAUGAUUCCAUGGCAACUAACCUGGGUAAAUACUUCACACGAGUUGGAAAAUUAUGUGAACUGUUAAGGUUGCACACUUAGUGACGAACAUAGAGAGGAUUUUGUAUAAGUGAACUUGGAGACAAGACUACUAUACAACAUAUUAAACACAAUAAAUAAAUCUAAUAUAAAACUAUGAAAUUUGUU